UAGUUCCUACGGGGGGCAGCAGUGGGGAAUAUUGCACAAUGGGGGAAACCCUGAUGCAGCGACGCCGCGUGAGUGAAGAAGUAUUUCGGUAUGUAAAGCUCUCUCAGCAGGGAAGAAAAUGACGGUACCUGACUAAGAAGCCCCGGCUAACUACGUGCCAGCAGCCGCGGUAAUACGUAGGGGGCAAGCGUUAUCCGGAUUUACUGGGUGUAAAGGGAGCGUAGACGGCAUGGCAAGUCAGAUGUGAAAGCCCGGGGCUCAACCCCGGGACUGCAUUUGCAACUGUAGUUCUUGAGCACUG
This 301-nucleotide ribosomal RNA is filed under the name uncultured bacterium. Its description in RNAcentral is "bacterial SSU rRNA". It matches the Rfam family "Bacterial small subunit ribosomal RNA", at positions 333 to 651 of the family's 1533-position model. The record is from RNAcentral.